GGAUUUAGUUUAUUUCACAAUGCAGUGGAAAACAGUACUAAUCGUUUUGACUGCUGCACUGAUACCCGUGGCUGGAGGUUUUCUAGUUAGUUUAGAAACACGGGAUGCUAUCAAAACAUGGUACACUACCCUGUUGCUUCCAACAUGGCGUCCUCCAAACUGGUUGUUCGCUCCAGUUUGGACAUUUUUGUAUCUAUCCAUGGGUUAUGCGUCCUACCUAGUUUGGCGAGAUGGAAGCGGAUUCAAUGGACCGGCACGAUGGCCCCUCGUGUUAUACGUAGCACAGCUAUUGCUUAACUGGGCGUGGCCUCCAGUGUUCUUCAUAGCGCAUGAAUUAAAAUGGAGCGCCGUCCUGAUUACCGUCCUUACCGUUAUGGCAAUCGUCACUUGCGCAGCAUUCUUUAAAGUGAACCGAUUGGCGGGAUGGCUGUUAGUUCCCUACAUAGCAUGGCUGGCCUUUGCAGCUAGUUUAAACUGGAGGAUAUACAUCGACAAUUAAAGCUUAUAAAUGCA
Long non-coding RNA from Ochlerotatus camptorhynchus, 513 nucleotides. RefSeq lists it as uncharacterized. Lineage: Eukaryota; Metazoa; Arthropoda; Insecta; Diptera; Culicidae. The transcript is spliced from 2 exons. The record is from RefSeq and is a predicted model, not a curated record.